Oryzias melastigma (Indian medaka) is the source of this 2247-nucleotide long non-coding RNA. RefSeq lists it as uncharacterized. Lineage: Eukaryota; Metazoa; Chordata; Actinopteri; Beloniformes; Adrianichthyidae. The record is from RefSeq and is a predicted model, not a curated record. The transcript has 2 exons.
AAGAAUAACAUAUAUAUUAAUAUUUUAAAAAGAACUACAUAAGACUGAUUAUUUUUAAAGAAUGACACUAUUUCUUGUGUUAAUGUGGAGCAGAAGAAACAACAUGUUUAUGUGAAUAAGCAGGUUGUAAAGCUGCUUGUUGGACGCUUUCCCAUAGAAAACAGAUGGCCUCAGCACUGCUGUUAGUGUUGACAAAAGAAAGACUCCCGGUUGGUUUAGGGACAGAGCUGCUGUGUUUUGAUGACACAUAGUCACACACACAAAGUUGCCCCGGUAUAACCUGAACCAAUGAGGUGUCUGACUGAUUAAAUCAACUUUCACCCCCCCCCCCAGGGCUAUUCCACAAAGAUGAUGCUUCGAGGGAAGACAGGGAGUGAGGUGACAGAAUGACGGGAUCAGGGAGGAAAGUUAGCCGUGAAGACUGGAAGCAGCUUUUGUUGCUUAUCUGGGGUAAAAAUAACAAGAAGUUUGAACAUAAAGAGAGUUCAAGAAGACCUACACACACAUCACAUCCUGUUUUUCCCCGAGUUUUCCGUCGUUCUCAUCCGUGAUAUCUUAAUGCUGCCGACUUACUGACCUGUGGUAAGUCUAACAUGUUAGUCACUGUUCUAAUGCUCAGCUCCACAUGACUCAUCUCCAUCUUUGUCUUUCAAUCUAAUUUUUUUUCUUCUUUUUCCACCCAUCUAUUGCUUUCCACCAUAAUUAUUAAGCAAGAUGAGAAUGUCAGAUGCAGUCAGUCAGGAUGCAGCGUACGACGGAAAAACCGUUUACUAUUUGUGAAGCUGGAUGGAAGUUCAUUGAGUGUGUUUUAAAAUGUUCUUCAGUGAAGUUGCGAUACAUGCGGAAACAUUUUCAAAUGACAAAACUUUUAUUUGACAGUGUUGCCCUUAAAUAAAUUUGCAACUAAAAAUGUCUUGUAAGAAUUGCAUGUGAAAUAUUAAGUAAAUAAAUACAUUUGUGAACAGAUGAUGAUAAAACACAUGUAAAUAUGGAUGUUUUUGUGUCAUAAAUCUCUUGUGGAUUUUUUAACUUUUUAGGAUUUUGUUGUGUGUUUUUAAUUGUAUAGCAGUUUGAGCUGCGAUGCAUGAAAGGCAUUUUUUAUGAAUAAAUCUGGAUUUGAUUCCAGUUUCUUCUUUACCAUCUUUGUCGUCUUCAGAUGCCGACUGUCUUCUCAGUUUGCGCGUUCCUGUAAAAGUCACAGGAAAAAAUAAUGUUAGCUGAUGGUCAGACGCAAUAUAAUUCAUUUUAUAACACAUAGAUUAUGAUUACAAAUGAAAUCCUUACCACCAGGAAGCAUCUUUUUUCACAUUGUGUUGUCUACUUUUCAUACAUUUUUAUUUUAGUUCUUAUUUCACCUCAAUGAUGAUUUCCGCUUCGUCUCAUUGACUUGAAAAUGUUUGAUUUCUUAUAUUUUAUUUUAUUUUUGUGAUCUCUUCUGGACCUGAUAGUAAAUUGCUGGAGGCUGAAGGUGCUUUAUUUAAACAAGAAAUUGACUUGUUUGACUUUCAAGUCACUAUUUGUACCUUUCAUUAGACAAAUAUGAGGAUAAAUAUGAAGGAUUCUACAGCGUCUUUCAAAUGCUGGCUUGUAUUCUUCCUAAGAAGGUUCGUCCCCAACAAUAUGUUACUUUUAACAGUUUGUGAAGUUAAUAACACUAUAUUUGUCAAGUUAUUUGAUAAAAAAUUAAUUAAGAGCAAAAACAAUAACAGCGGAAACUAUUCUAUAAAAUAAUCUUUAAAAUGAUAAAUAUUCAAGGAUUUGACAAAAAGGAGUAAUGAGCUCACGUUUCAUGUUGUUCUAUGUCUUUACCGUCACACAAAUGAGCGGUGAAGCCUGUAACUGCUAAUCUUUUACAUUCCUAUCAGAAGUGUCAGCAGUAUUUACCCACACACACUUCAGUGUUCAUCUCAUUUACUUCUGCUUAAAGAAACCCUAAUGUUAUGCAACUGAAGCGUCUAAAGCUUCAGUUUUGCUUUUCUUACAUAAAGCGAUCCAUCAGGGAUUUUGUCAGAGUUUAAUAAAUUAUUGAAUGUCAGAAAAUUAAUCAAUCAUCUGAAUUAAUUUACUGUCAGUGGGAUUUCUUCAUUGUCCAACUUUUAUUGGAGCUGCACGUCAGAUGUCAGGUUAUCAGGACUCUAUAAAGUUUGUUUGGAAUAGAAUAGAAUAGAAUAGAAUAGAAUAGAAUAGAAUAGAAUAGCCACACUAACCACACUAACACAUCUGAAAUAAAAUAAAACAAUAAAAAAA